CUCCAUCCAACAGACCGGACACAAGAUCGAAAUCUUUAUGCCCCUAUCCCUGACAAAUGUCCACAUGGGAAGUCGGUUCUAGACAAGCUUCCAUAGAAAAAUCUUUACCCUAAGAUGAAUGACUACUCUCCAAAUCCAAGUAGCCUCGAUCCUCCUGAUCAGUGCUGGUCCACACAAUUGGGAGAGGUCCCUCAAGAGAAUCUUCAGGCAGUAGGAGCAUCCCCAGACCCUCGCAUCCUGACUGGGAUGUAUC
RNAcentral lists this long non-coding RNA (253 nucleotides) under Elaeis guineensis (African oil palm). RNAcentral's name for it is "long non-coding RNA (EGUI_LNC033866)". The record is from RNAcentral. Lineage: Eukaryota; Viridiplantae; Streptophyta; Magnoliopsida; Arecales; Arecaceae.